ACUUUCAUGUCCGCUGGUGUAAUUCUUGGUCCUCAUUGUGAGCUGCAAGUUUGCUGUUUCUAUCAUCAAGAUAUCUUCAGCCAUCCAGAUAACAUUAUAUGGUUCUCCUUUUGUUGAAAUGACGCUGGAAUAUCUGAAGAAAGGAUUGUGGCAAGAGGCCAGCUACUGGGUUGAUGUUAUAGAUGGAAGACCUGUUGUGGAUACUGAAAGGAAUACAUAUGCCUGAUUCGUCUUGUUAUCCCAGACAAGAAGAAAAUUUAACUUAUACAAGACGUUCAUAUUGGAAGCGGUGAUUGUGGCAGAGUUCAUGAAAGAUAUUAAGUCAUUGGACUUUGGACGUGAAAUUAGCUAAAUGAAUCGAGACUUCUAGACCUCACUUUUAGCAUGCCUCAAGGAUGCACCCUGCAGAUUGACAUUUUUAUGGCUAGUGUUUGUUGCCAUUUCCUAUUUUGCUAUACAAAAAGAAAAAAUAUGAUAUUAUGAGUUGUUUUUCACGUAUCUACUGAUCAUGUAUAAUUCUGGAGUAGUCUCCUUUGACAAAUGUUGAGGGACCUUGCUGUUUAAGUCUCGAGUUAGUUUGUGAUUCAAUUGGUCGUUAGUUGCAAGGUUGGAAGGAACAUCUUCUCAGGUUUCCUAAAUCUCUCUGCAACAAAAUCUCCUCGGAUUUGGCUAAAUUUUGCUCAGGACAUACUUCUGGGAAUGGAAUACAUCGGAAGAGUUGAGAUGCUCUUAUAUUACCCUAGAGCUCUGGUGGAAUGGGGUUUCGGAAUCAUGGAGAUUUUAAUCAAGCUUUGCUUGCUAAACAAGGUUGGUGAUUCCUCAUUAAUCCCUCUUCUUUUUGGGUUUGUCUGCUCAAAGCUCGAUAUUUCCCCACAUCUUUCUUGGAAUCUUGAAUUGGCUCUUAUCCAUCAUGGUUAUGGUCUAGCCUCAUUCACAGUCGGAAGUUGUUACAGACUCAGCUUCUCAGGCCUCGCCCCUCAUUCCUUUGGCCUUUCGGACCUGUCUCUGCGGGUAUCUGACCCUAUUGAUUGGUCUGUUCUGUCUUGAAAUUUGACAAGCGUUUAAUUUGUUUCAUUAACUGCUGCUGAGAUUACUGUAAUCCUUGUUAAUUCAACUAUGGCAGACAAGAUUGUUUGGCCUUUGAACUGGUCCGGACAGUACUCUGUGAGUUCAGGUUACUCAGGUGGCACAUCAUCCUUCUUCCACUUGCUUCACAUACCUAGCAAUCACAUUUGGUCGAAGCUUUUGUCUUUGAAGACACUUCCAAAAUCAAGAAUUUUCUUUGGAGGGUUUUUUCCAACGCUUUUAUCUACCAGAGCUAAUCUAUUUGUGAGGAAGCUUGUUUCGACUCCUUUGUGUUCUAUCUGGUUCAGCUUUCCCUGAACCAAUAGAAUAGGACAUAUUUCUUUUUCGCCGCACUUGGGUGCGUUUAGUAUGGUUUGCUCAUCUGAUUUGGCUAUCUUCCUAACCUUCAGCGGACUAUUGUACUUUGGAUGUCCGGCUUCAACGCUUAAGUUUCCCUUCCUCUACUCCAAGCAAGUUUCGACAUCAGCUUCUUACACAUUAGUUUUGUGUUAUGGCACCUCUGGAAACACAGCUGUCAUUGUCUUCUAUACUAACCCCCUUAGAUGGAGGGUGACAAUUAACAUAUUAGGCAAAGAGAUCGUUUGCUUGUAUAGUUUGUUAAUAUUUGGAUAUGAAUCCUGAAGUUUGUUUUUGGGUUUGUGAAGAGAGUACUAACAAACUAUACGAGGAAAAUUUAUUUGUAUCAAAAUAUUCAAUACCAAUAGUAAGAGAACACUAGUUUUG
Molecule: RNA transcript, 1809 nt
Organism: Fragaria vesca subsp. vesca
Lineage: Eukaryota; Viridiplantae; Streptophyta; Magnoliopsida; Rosales; Rosaceae
Exons: 2
Source: RefSeq, a predicted model, not a curated record